GACAGAGGUGCCGAGCGUUAGGCGGAAUCACUGGGCUUAAAGCGUGUGUAGGCGGAUCGUUAAGUACCUUGUGAAAUCCCCCGGCUCAACCGGGGAACUGCUGGGUAUACUGGCGAUCUUGAGCGGUCUAGGGGCAGAUGGAACAAGUGGUGGAGCGGUGAAAUGCGUAGAUAUCACUUGGAACGCCAAAGGUGAAGACAGUCUGCUGGGGAUCUGCUGACGCUGAGACACGAAAGCCAGGGGAGCGAACGGG
This 253-nucleotide ribosomal RNA is filed under the name uncultured bacterium. RNAcentral describes it as "partial 16S ribosomal RNA". It matches the Rfam family "Bacterial small subunit ribosomal RNA", at positions 524 to 776 of the family's 1533-position model. The record is from RNAcentral.